ACUGCGAGGAGCCACCGCCUCUUUCGCGCUCCUUAUACACCUAUCACUGGGAGCGGUGGCAGCAACGUUCCCUGGACCAACCGCCGCCUCUUCAGGCGGCCGCUUUGCCGGUCAUUCCCGAAGCCCGGCAACUGAGGGCGGCCCCCUUUCCUUAACAGUCUCCUCGCUACAGAUCGUCUGCUCCCUCAGCCUCGCCCGAGACCCACUUCCCCAGUCUCGCCCGGGUGGAGGUCGACGAGGAGGAGACAAGAGUCACCCUUCCUCCAGGCGGCGCCGGCCCCCUCACCCGCGGGUGUGUCCUAUAAAUGGCGUCGGAAAGCGACACCGAGGAAUUCUAUGAUGCCCCUGAAGAUGUGCACCUAGGGGGCGGCUACCCCGUGGGGAAACAGAGAACACUGCAUACAAAGUUGGAAAUGAGUCCCCUGUACAAGAAUUGAAACAAGAUGUGUCUAAAAAGAUUAUUGAAAGUAUUAUUGAGGAGAGUCAGAAAGUACUACAGCUUGAAGAUGACUCUUUGGAUUCCAAAGGAAAAGAACUCUCUGAUCAAGCUACUGCCAGUCCUAUUGUGGCUAGAACAGAUCUGAGCAAUAUACCCGGACUGUUAGCCAUAGAUCAAGUACUACCGGAAGAAUCCCAAAAGGCAGAGAGUCAGAAUACAUUUGAAGAGACUGAAUUAGAAUUAAAAAAAUGCUUUCCUUCUGAUGAAACCUGUGAGAAACCAGUAGAUGAAACCACGAAGUUAACUCAAACAAGUUCAACUGAGCAGCUUAAUGUGCUUGAAACUGAAACAGAAGUAUUGAACAAGGAAGCAGUGGAAGUCAAAGGAGGUGGUGAUGUUUUAGAGCCUGUGUCCUCAGACUCCUUAUCUACUAAAGAUUUUGCCGCUGUGGAAGAAGUGGCCCCUGCCAAACCCCCAAGACACCUUACUCCAGAGCCUGAUAUAGUGGCUAGUACAAAGAAGCCUGUUCCAGCACGCCCACCUCCUCCAACUAAUUUCCCACCUCCUAGACCCCCACCUCCAUCUCGACCUGCUCCACCACC
Molecule: small RNA, 1041 nt
Filed under: Pan troglodytes (chimpanzee)
Lineage: Eukaryota; Metazoa; Chordata; Mammalia; Primates; Hominidae
Description: processed transcript
Source: RNAcentral